RNA transcript from Neodiprion fabricii, 1633 nucleotides. RefSeq lists it as uncharacterized. The transcript is spliced from 6 exons. Lineage: Eukaryota; Metazoa; Arthropoda; Insecta; Hymenoptera; Diprionidae. The record is from RefSeq and is a predicted model, not a curated record.
ACGUUGACGAUUAUCAACGUUGUUGUUGUUUUCGCGUUAUUUCCAAGGGUCGAUUAUUCCAUGCUUCCGAGUUUGUUUACAAAAUAACUGUCGGAUCUUAGUUUAGCUUCGAGAAUUCAUCAGGAACAAAGCGUUCCGAUACUUCUAAUCCGCGUCUUUUCUCCUUGCCUUCGUGCGUACUGUGUUUGUUUGUGCAUUGGGUGUUGUGCGUGAUUUUCACCGUAAAAAAUAGCCGAUUUGUAUCUCAAAGCCUAUUUCAUGUGCGACGAGAAAAACGGUCGCCGGAUCUCCAAAUAUUUUUUUGAAGAAGGAAGGAAGGAUGAGGAGAGUGGAAAUUCACAACUCGUUGAAACUUUCGGGAAAACUACGUCGCAGACAAAAAACUUUGUGUCACCACGGCGAUGACGAUGAUCAUCUUUGCACGAGGCAUUCGGGAGAAUGAACGGAAUUGAUGUAUGGUACGUUCGGUUUACGAAGAUGACGUCGAGGUGCAUCCUGAUAUUUCUGCGUUGUUGCUGGUCUGUUUGGCGACGUCAUCAGACGACGACGAGGAGGAUGACGAUGAAGUGGAGACAAUUUUCUUGCUGCUAGAAUCGUAAGCCUUUCGCGAACGCCAGAAGUCUGCAAUAAAGAAGACGGGACACGAUUAAAGGGGUUAAACAUUGAUGGUUGAAUUCGAUGUUUUACACGCGUGGAGCUCCGAAUGUGUUCCCGCUUUUGUGAAAAUUCCAUUUCACUAAUUUGCCGAGGCACUUUUCUCGUGCGGCCUAUAAUUUUAACGGACUUGGGAAGUCUGUAGGGUGAUAAGGAACGCGACAAGUAUCGAGACCGACACUUUCAUCGAGAGAUUAAUUCGACUGCGACGCCGUAAAUCAGAAUUCUUCUCAAUUAAUGUCUGACUCACGCGUCUUUGGUGGUCAUCGCACCACACGAUGCGGCAGAUCGGCAUGGAAUGGCAUUGAAUUGAGAGUAAAAUUUCCAAUGAAUCCAACUCGGCUAAAUCUUCAACGGUUCCAUGUAUUUCAUUACAUUGGCGAAUCGACGACACGGAGAAAAAUUGUAGGUUUCCGAGAAAAAAUGCUUCUAUACGAUCAGAUAAAUUCAUAUGAAAUUUUAUCUCCAAUUUGACAUGAUAAAAUUAUAUAAAAUUAUCACACCCAUACAAUUUUAUAUUAUUCUUUAUAAGUUUAAAUAAAUUUUAAUAAUUUUAUCCAACUUUAUAAAUUUGCAUGAAAUCAUACAGAACUUUGAAAGAAACUUAGGUUUGACAUAACCUUAAAUAAUUUCAUAAAUUUGGAUAAAAUAUUAUAAAGUUAUAUGAAAAAAUAUAAAAUUAUACGCAUAUAAUUUUUCAGAAUUUUGUUAGGUUAAAUUCGAGGUAACAUUUCUUAUAAAUUUAUCUUAUCGUAUAAAAAUAUUUUCUUACCGGGAUACCGUGUUAUUAUAUUCAGCGAAUAUAAUACAAACCGCUGACCAGAUAUCAUUAGUUAGAUUAUACAAGGAAUCUACUUAUCUCAGUUUUUUUUCUUUGAAGAAAGAAAAAUUAAAAAAAAAAAACCAAUUUACAUUACUCCGAGUCAAAACCACACUCACUUACUCAUGUAAUAAGCAAAAUGGGCAAUUUAGAUGAGAC